UCGGGCGGCGCCUGGCAGAGGCAGAGAUGCUGCUGCUGCUGCACCAUGUGCUGAAACACCUCCAGGUGGAGACACUAACCCAAGAGGACAUAAAGAUGGUCUACAGCUUCAUAUUGAGGCCCAGCACGUUCCCCCUCCUCACCUUCAGAGCCAUCAACUAAUCACGUCUCUGCACCCAGGGUCCCAGCCUGGCCACCAGCCUCCCUUUCUGCCUGACCCCAGGCCACCCCUCUUCUCUCCCACAUGCACAGCUUCCUGAGUCACCCCUCUGUCUAACCAGCCCCAGCACAAAUGGAACUCCCGAGGGCCUCUAGGACCAGGGUUUGCCAGCUAAGCAGCAAUGCCAGGGCACAGCUGGGGAAGAUCUUGCUGACAGGGCCUGACCUUGUCCCCAGCCCCACCUGGCCCUUUCUCCAGCAAGCAGUGUCCUCUGGGCAGUUGGCCCCCAUCCCUCCCAGUGCUGGCUCCAGGCUCCUCGUGUGGCCAUGCAAGGGUGCUGUGGUUUUGUCCCUUGCCUUCCUGCCUAGUCUCACAUGUCCCUGUUCCUUUUCCCCUGGCCAGGGCCCCUGCGCAGACUGUCAGAGUCAUUAAGCGGGAUCCCAGCAUCUCAGAGUCCAGUCAAGUUCCCUCCUGCAGCCUGCCCCCCAGGCAGCUCG
This 656-nucleotide long non-coding RNA is filed under the name Pan troglodytes (chimpanzee). RNAcentral's name for it is "long non-coding RNA NONPTRT017288". Lineage: Eukaryota; Metazoa; Chordata; Mammalia; Primates; Hominidae. The record is from RNAcentral.